Molecule: ribozyme, 66 nt
Filed under: Aedes aegypti (yellow fever mosquito)
Lineage: Eukaryota; Metazoa; Arthropoda; Insecta; Diptera; Culicidae
Description: drz-agam-1 ribozyme
Rfam family: drz-agam-1 ribozyme
Source: Rfam by way of RNAcentral
UGCCCAGCAACUCCUAUCCCUACCUCCUCGUGGUACUGUCCGGGGUACGAGAAUCCUUGGGGAAGA